GGAGUGGUAGUUCAGUUGGUUAGAAUACCGGCCUGUCACGCAGGGGGUCGCGGGUUCGAGUCCCGUCCACUCCGCCA
RNAcentral lists this transfer RNA (77 nucleotides) under Vibrio scophthalmi. Its description in RNAcentral is "tRNA-Asp". It matches the Rfam family "tRNA". Rfam says of the family: Transfer RNA (tRNA) molecules are approximately 80 nucleotides in length. Their secondary structure includes four short double-helical elements and three loops (D, anti-codon, and T loops). The record is from RNAcentral. Lineage: Bacteria; Pseudomonadati; Pseudomonadota; Gammaproteobacteria; Vibrionales; Vibrionaceae.